Molecule: ribosomal RNA, 911 nt
Filed under: uncultured organism
Description: bacterial SSU rRNA
Rfam family: Bacterial small subunit ribosomal RNA
Source: RNAcentral
GAGUUGAUCCUGGCUCAGAACGAACGCUGGCGGCAGGCCUAACACAUGCAAGUCGAGCGAGGACUUCGGUCCUAGCGGCGGACGGGUGAGUAACGCGUGGGAACGUGCCCUUCACUACGGAAUAGUCCCGGGAAACUGGGUUUAAUACCGUAUACGCCCUUCGGGGGAAAGAAUUUCGGUGAAGGAUCGGCCCGCGUCUGAUUAGGUAGUUGGUGGGGUAACGGCCUACCAAGCCUACGAUCAGUAGCUGGUUUGAGAGGAUGAUCAGCCACACUGGGACUGAGACACGGCCCAGACUCCUACGGGAGGCAGCAGUGGGGAAUCUUAGACAAUGGGGGCAACCCUGAUCUAGCCAUGCCGCGUGAGUGACGAAGGCCCUAGGGUCGUAAAGCUCUUUCACCAGGGAAGAUAAUGACGGUACCUGGAGAAGAAACCCCGGCUAACUCCGUGCCAGCAGCCGCGGUAAUACGGAGGGGGUUAGCGUUGUUCGGAAUUACUGGGCGUAAAGCGCGCGUAGGCGGACUGUUAAGUCAGGGGUGAAAUCCCGGGGCUCAACCCCGGAACUGCCCUUGAUACUGGCAGUCUCGAGUUCGAGAGAGGUGAGUGGAACUCCGAGUGUAGAGGUGAAAUUCGUAGAUAUUCGGAAGAACACCAGUGGCGAAGGCGGCUCACUGGCUCGAUACUGACGCUGAGGUGCGAAAGUGUGGGGAGCAAACAGGAUUAGAUACCCUGGUAGUCCACACCGUAAACGAUGAAUGCCAGACGUCGGGCAGCAUGCUGUUCGGUGUCACACCUAACGGAUUAAGCAUUCCGCCUGGGGAGUACGGCCGCAAGGUUAAAACUCAAAGGACUUGACGGGGGCCCACACAAGCGGUGGAGCAUGUGGUUUACUUCGAAGCAACGCGCAGAAC